RNAcentral lists this ribosomal RNA (159 nucleotides) under uncultured Glomus. RNAcentral's name for it is "5.8S ribosomal RNA". It matches the Rfam family "5.8S ribosomal RNA". From Rfam's summary of the family: 5.8S ribosomal RNA (5.8S rRNA) is a component of the large subunit of the eukaryotic ribosome. It is transcribed by RNA polymerase I as part of the 45S precursor that also contains 18S and 28S rRNA. Functionally, it is thought that 5.8S rRNA may be involved in ribosome translocation. The record is from RNAcentral. Lineage: Eukaryota; Fungi; Glomeromycota; Glomeromycetes; Glomerales; Glomeraceae.
ACUUUCAACAAACGGAUCUCUUUGACUCUCGCAUCGAUGAAAAACGAACCGAAUUGCCAUAAGUAAUGUGAAUUGCAGAAAUCCGUGAAAUCUCGAAAUUUUUAACCCAAAUUGCCCUCUUUGCCCCCCGGGGAAAAAUCCUGGUUUAGGGCUAAAAAU